UACGUAGGGUGCAAGCGUUUAAUCGGAAUUACUGGGCGUAAAGCGUGCGCAGGCGGCUAUGCAAGACAGAUGUGAAAUCCCCGGGCUCAACCUGGGAACUGCAUUUGUGACUGCAUAGCUAGAGUACGGUAGAGGGGGGAUGGAAUUCCGCGUGUAGCAGUGAAAUGCGUAGAUAUGCGGGAGGAACACCGAUGGCGAAGGCAAUCCCCCUGGACCUGUACUGACGC
RNAcentral lists this ribosomal RNA (227 nucleotides) under uncultured bacterium. RNAcentral describes it as "partial 16S ribosomal RNA". It matches the Rfam family "Bacterial small subunit ribosomal RNA", at positions 524 to 746 of the family's 1533-position model. The record is from RNAcentral.